GACCACGUAGCUCAGUUGGCAGAGCAUUGGGCUAGAAUUCCAAAGGUCGUAGGUUCGAAUCCCACCGUAGCCA
This 73-nucleotide transfer RNA is filed under the name Paramuricea clavata. It matches the Rfam family "tRNA". Rfam says of the family: Transfer RNA (tRNA) molecules are approximately 80 nucleotides in length. Their secondary structure includes four short double-helical elements and three loops (D, anti-codon, and T loops). Further hydrogen bonds mediate the characteristic L-shaped molecular structure. tRNAs have two regions of fundamental functional importance: the anti-codon, which is responsible for specific mRNA codon recognition, and the 3' end, to which the tRNAs corresponding amino acid is attached (by aminoacyl-tRNA synthetases). tRNAs cope with the degeneracy of the genetic code in two manners: having more than one tRNA (with a specific anti-codon) for a particular amino acid; and 'wobble' base-pairing, i.e. permitting non-standard base-pairing at the 3rd anti-codon position. Lineage: Eukaryota; Metazoa; Cnidaria; Anthozoa; Malacalcyonacea; Plexauridae. The record is from Rfam by way of RNAcentral.